UCGAGCGAAUCUAAAGGGAGCUUGCUCCCGGAAGAUUAGCGGCGGACGGGUGAGUAACACGUGGGCAACCUACCUGUAAGUCUGGGAUAACUUCGGGAAACCGGAGCUAAUACCGGAUAAUUUCUUUCUUCGCAUGAAGAAAGGUUGAAAGACGGCUUUGCUGUCACUUACAGAUGGGCCCGCGGCGCAUUAGUUAGUUGGUGAGGUAACGGCUCACCAAGACCACGAUGCGUAGCCGACCUGAGAGGGUGAUCGGCCACACUGGGACUGAGACACGGCCCAGACUCCUACGGGAGGCAGCAGUAGGGAAUCUUCCGCAAUGGACGAAAGUCUGACGGAGCAACGCCGCGUGAGUGAAGAAGGUCUUCGGAUCGUAAAACUCUGUUAUCAGGGAAGAACAAGUACCGGAGUUACUGCCGGUACCUUGACGGUACCUGACCAGAAAGCCACGGCUAACUACGUGCCAGCAGCCGCGGUAAUACGUAGGUGGCAAGCGUUGUCCGGAAUUAUUGGGCGUAAAGCGCGCGCAGGCGGUUCUUUAAGUCUGAUGUGAAAUCUUGCGGCUCAACCGUGAGCGGUCAUUGGAAACUGGAGAACUUGAGUGCAGAAGAGAAGAGCGGAAUUCCACGUGUAGCGGUGAAAUGCGUAGAGAUGUGGAGGAACACCAGUGGCGAAAGCGGCUCUUUGGUCUGUAACUGACGCUGAGGCGCGAAAGCGUGGGGAGCGAACAGGAUUAGAUACCCUGGUAGUCCAC
Molecule: ribosomal RNA, 754 nt
Filed under: Bacillus sp. MO-10
Lineage: Bacteria; Bacillati; Bacillota; Bacilli; Caryophanales; Bacillaceae
Description: bacterial SSU rRNA
Rfam family: Bacterial small subunit ribosomal RNA
Source: RNAcentral